AGCAGCCGCGGUAAUUCCAGCUCCAAUAGCGUAUAUUAAAGUUGUUGCAGUUAAAAAGCUCGUAGUUGAAUUUCGGGGUUAGUAGGUUGGUCAUGCCUCUGGUAUGUACUGGUCUCACUGAUUCCUCCUUCCUGAUGAGCCGUAAUGCCAUUAAUUUGGUGUUGCGGGGAAUUUGGACUGUUACUUUGAAAAAAUUAGAGUGUUUAAAGCAAGCUAACGCUUGAAUACAUUAGCAUGGAAUAAUAAAAUAGGACGUUCGAUCCUAUUUUGUUGGUUUCUAGGAUUGACGUAAUGAUUAAUAGGGAUAGUUGGGGGCAUUAGUAUUCAAUUGUCAGAGGUGAAAUUCUUGGAUUUAUUGAAGACUAACUACUGCGAAAGCAUUUGCCAAGGAUGUUUUCAUUAAUCAAGAACGAAAGUUAGGGGAUCGAAGACGAUCAGAUACCGUCGUAGUCUUAACCAUAAACUAUGCCGACUAGGGAUCGGAUGAUGUUAAUUUUUUAAUGACUCAUUCGGCGCCUUA
RNAcentral lists this ribosomal RNA (520 nucleotides) under uncultured Glomus. RNAcentral describes it as "SSU rRNA". It matches the Rfam family "Eukaryotic small subunit ribosomal RNA", at positions 569 to 1090 of the family's 1831-position model. Lineage: Eukaryota; Fungi; Glomeromycota; Glomeromycetes; Glomerales; Glomeraceae. The record is from RNAcentral.